This 76-nucleotide transfer RNA is filed under the name Chroococcidiopsis cubana SAG 39.79. RNAcentral's name for it is "tRNA-Phe". It matches the Rfam family "tRNA". Rfam says of the family: Transfer RNA (tRNA) molecules are approximately 80 nucleotides in length. Their secondary structure includes four short double-helical elements and three loops (D, anti-codon, and T loops). The record is from RNAcentral. Lineage: Bacteria; Bacillati; Cyanobacteriota; Cyanophyceae; Chroococcidiopsidales; Chroococcidiopsidaceae.
UCCCCUGGUAGCUCAGUUGGUAGUAGCACCUGUGUGAAGAACAGGAGAGCGUUGGUUCGAUUCCAACCUGGGGGGU